RNAcentral lists this small nucleolar RNA (106 nucleotides) under Gossypium arboreum. RNAcentral's name for it is "Plant small nucleolar RNA R71". It matches the Rfam family "Plant small nucleolar RNA R71". From Rfam's summary of the family: R71 is a member of the C/D box family of snoRNAs containing the C (UGAUGA) and D (CUGA) box motifs. Multiple nearly identical copies of this snoRNA have been identified in Arabidopsis, and it is thought to function as a 2'-O-ribose methylation guide for 18S ribosomal RNA. The record is from Rfam by way of RNAcentral. Lineage: Eukaryota; Viridiplantae; Streptophyta; Magnoliopsida; Malvales; Malvaceae.
AACCCAUCGUGAGGGCACCUUCUCAAUAAAUCCUUAUACCUCUUUCAUGCAUCAUAUAGGGUCUCUAAGUCCAUUUGCACAAAAGGGAGAUAUCAUUCCUUAACUU